RNAcentral lists this ribosomal RNA (254 nucleotides) under uncultured bacterium. Its description in RNAcentral is "partial 16S ribosomal RNA". It matches the Rfam family "Bacterial small subunit ribosomal RNA", at positions 524 to 776 of the family's 1533-position model. The record is from RNAcentral.
UACGAAGGGGGCUAGCGUUGCUCGGAAUCACUGGGCGUAAAGCGCACGUAGGCGGCUUUUUAAGUCAGGGGGUGAAAUCCUGGAGCUCAACUCCAGAACUGCCUUUGAUACUGAGAAGCUUGAGUCCGGGAGAGGUGAGUGGAACUGCGAGUGUAGAGGUGAAAUUCGUAGAUAUUCGCAAGAACACCAGUGGCGAAGGCGGCUCACUGGCCCGGUACUGACGCUGAGGUGCGAAAGCGUGGGGAGCAAACAGG